AGUGAACGCUGGCGGUAGGCCUAACACAUGCAAGUCGAACGGCAGCACAGUAAGAGCUUGCUCUUACGGGUGGCGAGUGGCGGACGGGUGAGGAAUACAUCGGAAUCUACUUUUUCGUGGGGGAUAACGUAGGGAAAAUUACGCUAAUACCGCAUACGACCUAAGUGUGAAAGCAGGGGAUCUUCGGACCUUGCGCGAUUGAAUGAGCCGAUGACGGAUUAGCUAGUUGGCGGGGUAAAGGCCCACCAAGGCGACGAUCCGUAGCUGGUCUGAGAGGAUGAUCAGCCACACUGGAACUGAGACACGGUCCAGACUCCUACGGGAGGCAGCAGUGGGGAAUAUUGGACAAUGGGCGCAAGCCUGAUCCAGCCAUACCGCGUGGGUGAAGAAGGCCUUCGGGUUGUAAAGCCCUUUUGUUGGGAAAGAAAAGCAGCAGGUUAAUACCCCGCUGUUCCGACGGUACCCAAAGAAUAAGCACCGGCUAACUUCGUG
Molecule: ribosomal RNA, 492 nt
Filed under: uncultured bacterium
Lineage: Bacteria
Description: partial 16S ribosomal RNA
Rfam family: Bacterial small subunit ribosomal RNA
Source: RNAcentral